CCUACGGGAGGCAGCAGUGAGGAAUAUUGGUCAAUGGGCGGAAGCCUGAACCAGCCAAGUAGCGUGCAGGAUGACGGCCCUACGGGUUGUAAACUGCUUUUAUACGGGAAUAACGCGCCUUACGUGUAGGGCUUUGCAUGUACCGUAUGAAUAAGGACCGGCUAAUUCCGUGCCAGCAGCCGCGGUAAUACGGAGGAUCCGAGCGUUAUCCGGAUUUAUUGGGUUUAAAGGGAGCGUAGAUGGGUUGUUAAGUCAGUUGUGAAAGUUUGCGGCUCAACCGUAAAAUUGCAAUUGAUACUGGCAGUCUUGAGUACAGUUGAGGUAGGCGGAAUUCGUGGUGUAGCGGUGAAAUGCUUAGAUAUCACGAAGAACCCCGAUUGCGAAGGCAGCUUACUAAACUGUGACUGACAUUGAUGCUCGAAAGUGUGGGUAUCAAACAGGAUUAGAUACCCCUGUAGUC
RNAcentral lists this ribosomal RNA (460 nucleotides) under uncultured bacterium. RNAcentral's name for it is "partial 16S ribosomal RNA". It matches the Rfam family "Bacterial small subunit ribosomal RNA", at positions 338 to 795 of the family's 1533-position model. The record is from RNAcentral.